GGGAGCGUUGCUGAGAACUGAGAAUAUGCUGUACCGACUAAUAUGGUGUGACUGGAUUAUUGCCUGACUGUGGCCUGACCAUCUUGUCGAAAUAGUGGAUGUGAAAGGGAUGCAUGGUUACCGUUUACUUUAUGGUUAAAAUAUUGUUUUGUUUCGUUUCUUUAUUACCUUUUGUUUGUAAGUGUGGAGAUCCGGAGUGGUAGAGAUUGAGGUACUAGUGAAUGUGUUUGGUUGUUGAUUUUAUGUUUGUGUACCUUGUAUUGCCCACUGUUAAUUGUGUUUUG
Molecule: long non-coding RNA, 284 nt
Organism: Puntigrus tetrazona (Sumatra barb)
Lineage: Eukaryota; Metazoa; Chordata; Actinopteri; Cypriniformes; Cyprinidae
Exons: 3
Source: RefSeq, a predicted model, not a curated record